GCCCCACGAGGAUUUAGAUGCCCCAAGAGCUUGCUAACAUUAUAACUUAUAAACUACUUUUGUUAUGCCGUGAUCAUGAGAUAAAUAAGUUGUGAUCUCGACAUAACAAAGGAUUAUUUUAUUUAUUUAUAUGUCCUCUCUGGACUUCCGUACAUAGAAACGCAUCGGGCUUAUUUUUGACAGACUUUUGGCGAGAGUAAAACUUCUCGCUUCACCUCUUCCUCUCCGAUUACAGUUAAAAAAGGACUUUGACUAACACCCCACGAUUUAUUUAUGCUACAGUGCCUUCAGAAACUAUUCAUACCACAGGAGGUUGGUGGCAAUUUCAUUGAGCUAACUCAAUUCACACCCUGGAGUCAAUACUUUGUAAAAGCACCUUUGGCAGCGAUUACAGCUGUGAGUCUUUCUGGGUUAGAUCAACAACAGGAUCUGGGGGUAACCAUGGAGGAGCACCCACUAUCCCCACAGAAUGGCCAACCUCUAACUUCCACAAACCACUCUCAUCAGCAAUCUUUCCAACUGUUGUAGGAGAAUUUCCAUGACAUAAUGGGGAUUUUCCAUUACCUAUACUAUUUUCCAGAAGCAGUAAUCAGAAUCCAUAUGCGGUAAACUAUUAGGUAUGUGUAAGCAGAAUGAAGGAUGACUUCAUGUGAGUGUACAGAGCAGCAUCAACCACAGGGUUGAUCAUGAGACAUGAAGAAACAGAACGUAAGCAGAAUCUAUGUGGACGUGGCAGGCUGGAUCAAUACAGACUUGACUGUUCUGAGUCAUGUCUCAUCCUGUGGAGACUGCUGAACAUGCAGAUGGGUUAAUCAUUCAUAGGCAACAUAGGCCUGAACUGGUGAAGUCCAGUGACUGUGUACUUUAGCCAAUCAAUACUAGAACCACAAGCCAUGUAUACAGUGGGGGGAAAAAGUAUUUGAUCCCCUGCUGAUUUUGUACGUUUGCCCACCGAUAAAGAAAGGAUCAGUCUAUAAUUUUAAUGGUAGGUUUAUUUGAACAGUGAGAGACAGAAUAACAUAAAAAAUAUCCAGAAAAACGCAUGUCAAAAAAUGUGGGAGACAUGUUCCAUACUGGAAAGACAUGUUUGUAUUAUUAAUCACGUAAUAUUAGAAAUGCACCUAUAUUAGGAACAUUUAUAUGCAACAAAUGUAUUUUUAUUUUUUUAUAUUACAACUGUGGUGUCGCCACCAAUAUAAUCUAAACUUGUGCAAGAUAAGUCAGAUGUGGACGUUAAACAAGCCAGCAUUGAGACAGAACAAUAAUGGUGGCGCAAGGCCAAGGGGUGUUAAUCAUUUACAUAGAAAGAAGUGACUAUGUAUGUUAUGAAAGAGUGGAAAUGUAUAAAAGCUGAGUACUGAGACUGGAGAGAUCAGUUCUUCCAUGGUAUUGCUCGGCUUCUGUUACUUUUGUAAUAAAGUCUAAUUGAAUUUUUACAAGUUCCGGUAUCUGAGAAAUAUUUGAUUCAAUAUUUCCACAACACUGUCCAACCAAAAACUACUGCCUUGUUUACUAGUAUAUCCACAACACUGUCCAACCAAAAACGACUGCCUUGUUUACUAGUAUAUCCACAACAGGCAUCUAGAACAGUAGCAGUGCGAUGCUCAACCUCUCAGUCUAACCCAAUUAGUUAAUGACCAUUUUUUACACCAUAUUUCCAAAGGCAUCUCACCUGCCUCUACUAGUAUGGCACUUACAUAUGUUGGUUUAAAUGCACCAAUACAUAUCUUUAAAGCUAUAUACUGGUCCAGCCAUGGUAGCCAAGUCUUCACACAUGUUCCAUAAACUAUACAACCGUAAUCAAUUGAUGUCCUGAUCAGAGCUCUAUAAAUAUCCAACAAAGAUUGGCUGUCAGCACCCAAUUCAUA
This 1868-nucleotide long non-coding RNA is filed under the name Salmo salar (Atlantic salmon). RNAcentral's name for it is "lncRNA (ENSSSAG00000118861.1)". The record is from RNAcentral. Lineage: Eukaryota; Metazoa; Chordata; Actinopteri; Salmoniformes; Salmonidae.